Molecule: ribosomal RNA, 484 nt
Filed under: uncultured bacterium
Lineage: Bacteria
Description: partial 16S ribosomal RNA
Rfam family: Bacterial small subunit ribosomal RNA
Source: RNAcentral
AUUGAACGCUGGCGGCAUGCCUUACACAUGCAAGUCGAACGGCAGCACGGGGGCAACCCUGGUGGCGAGUGGCGAACGGGUGAGGAAUACAUCUGAACGGGUCCGGGAGUGGGGGAUAGCGCGGCGAAAGCCGGAGUAAUACCGCAUACGCUCUACGGCGGAAAGGGGGGGAGGUGAGGACCUCCCGCUACAGGGGCGGCCGAUGUCAGAUUAGCUAGUUGGUGGGGUAAAGGCCUACCAAGGCGACGAUCAGUAGCUGGUCUGAGAGGACGAUCAGCCACACUGGGACUGAGACACGGCCCAGACUCCUACGGGAGGCAGCAGUGGGGAAUUUUGGACAAUGGGGGAAAGCCUGAUCCAGCAAUGCCGCGUGUGUGAAGAAGGCCUUCGGGUUGUAAAGCACUUUUGUCCGGAAAGAAAACGCCGUGGUUAAUACCUGUGGCGGAUGACGGUACCGGAAGAAUAAGCACCGGCUAACUACGUG